ACUCCUACGGGAGGCAGCAGUUAGGAAUCUUGCGCAAUGGGGGAAACCCUGACGCAGCGACGCCGCGUGCGGGAUGAAGGCCCUCGGGUUGUAAACCGCUUUCAGCAGGGACGAAAUUGACGGUACCUGCAGAAGAAGGCCCGGCCAACUACGUGCCAGCAGCCGCGGUAAUACGUAGGGGCCUAGCGUUGUCCGGAUUUAUUGGGCGUAAAGAGCUCGUAGGCGGUUCGGCAAGUCGGAUGUGAAAUCUCCACGCUCAACGUGGAGGGGCCAUUYGAAMCUKCCGUGACUCGAGUCCGGUAGGGGAGUGUGGAAUUCCCGGUGUAGCGGUGAAAUGCGCAGAUAUCGGGAGGAACACCAGUAGCGAAGGCGGCACUCUGGGCCGGUACUGACGCUGAGGAGSGAAAGCGUGGGGAGCGAACAGGAUUAGAUACCCUGGUAGUCCACGCCGUAAACGUUGGGCACUAGGUGUGGGACUCUAUCGACGGGUUCCGUGCCGUAGCUAACGCAUUAAGUGCCCCGCCUGGGGAGUACGGCCGCAAGGCUAAAACUCAAAGGAAUUGACGG
Molecule: ribosomal RNA, 567 nt
Filed under: uncultured Iamiaceae bacterium
Lineage: Bacteria; Bacillati; Actinomycetota; Acidimicrobiia; Acidimicrobiales; Iamiaceae
Description: bacterial SSU rRNA
Rfam family: Bacterial small subunit ribosomal RNA
Source: RNAcentral